This 253-nucleotide ribosomal RNA is filed under the name uncultured bacterium. Its description in RNAcentral is "partial 16S ribosomal RNA". It matches the Rfam family "Bacterial small subunit ribosomal RNA", at positions 524 to 776 of the family's 1533-position model. RNAcentral also lists the same sequence under 1 other name. The record is from RNAcentral.
GACGUAGGGGGCCAGCGUUGCUCGGAAUUACUGGGCGUAAAGGGUUCGUAGGCGGUGUGGCAAGUCGGAAGUGAAAUCUCCAGGCUCAACUUGGAGGCUGCUCCCGAAACUGCCGCGCUAGAGUGCGAGAGAGGCCAGUGGAAUUGCAGGUGUAGCGGUGAAAUGCGUAGAUAUCUGCAGGAACACCCGUGGCGAAGGCGGCUGGCUGGAUCGCAACUGACGCUGAGGAACGAAAGCUAGGGGAGCAAACAGG